Molecule: ribosomal RNA, 253 nt
Filed under: uncultured bacterium
Lineage: Bacteria
Description: partial 16S ribosomal RNA
Rfam family: Bacterial small subunit ribosomal RNA
Source: RNAcentral
UACAGAGGGGGCAAGCGUUGUCCGGAAUCAUUGGGCGUAAAGAGCGUGUAGGCGGUCCGGUAAGUCGGCUGUGAAAGUCCAGGGCUCAACCCUGGGAUGCCGGUCGAUACUGCCGGACUAGAGUUCGGAAGAGGCGAGUGGAAUUCCCGGUGUAGCGGUGAAAUGCGCAGAUAUCGGGAGGAACACCUAUGGCGAAGGCAGCUCGCUGGGACGUUACUGACGCUGAGACGCGAAAGCGUGGGGAGCAAACAGG